Molecule: ribosomal RNA, 450 nt
Filed under: uncultured prokaryote
Description: bacterial SSU rRNA
Rfam family: Bacterial small subunit ribosomal RNA
Source: RNAcentral
UAGGGAAUAUUGGACAAUGGGCGAAAGCCUGAUCCAGCCACGCCGCGUGAGUGAUGAAGGCCUUCGGGUUGUAAAGCUCUGUGGGAAGGGACGAAAAAAGCGGGUUCGAAUAGGUCCCGCUCUCGACGGUACCUUCUUAGCAAGCACCGGCUAACUCUGUGCCAGCAGCCGCGGUAAUACAGAGGGUGCAAACGUUGCUCGGAAUUACUGGGCGUAAAGCGCGUGUAGGCGGACCCGCAAGUCGGGUGUGAAAUCCCUAAGCUCAACUUAGGAACUGCAUCCGAAACUGCGUGUCUAGAGUACUGGAGAGGGAAGCAGAAUUCCUGGUGUAGAGGUGAAAUUCGUAGAUAUCAGGAGGAACACCGGUGGCGAAGGCGGCUUCCUGGACAGUGACUGACGCUGAGACGCGAAAGCGUGGGGAGCAAACAGGAUUAGAUACCCCCGUAGUCC